AAUAGAUACCCGGGUAGUCCACGCCGUAAACGAUGAGUGCUAAGUGUUAGAGGGUUUCCGCCCUUUAGUGCUGCAGCAAACGCAUUAAGCACUCCGCCUGGGGAGUACGGUCGCAAGACUGAAACUCAAAGGAAUUGACGGGGGCCCGCACAAGCGGUGGAGCAUGUGGUUUAAUUCGAAGCAACGCGAAGAACCUUACCAGGUCUUGACAUCCCGUGACAACUCUAGAGAUAGGGCAUUCCCUUUCGGGGGACACGGUGACAGGUGGUGCAUGGUUGUCGUCAGCUCGUGUCGUGAGAUGUUGGGUUAAGUCCCGCAACGAGCGCAACCCUUGAUCUUAGUUGCCAGCAUUCAGUUGGGCACUCUAAGGUGACUGCCGGUGACAAACCGGAGGAAGGUGGGGAUGACGUCAAAUCAUCAUGCCCCUUAUGACCUGGGCUACACACGUGCUACAAUGGAUGGUACAAAGGGCAGCGAAACCGCGAGGUUAAGCCAAUCCCAUAAAACCAUUCUCAGUUCGGAUUGCAGGCUGCAAC
This 536-nucleotide ribosomal RNA is filed under the name uncultured bacterium. Its description in RNAcentral is "bacterial SSU rRNA". It matches the Rfam family "Bacterial small subunit ribosomal RNA", at positions 777 to 1311 of the family's 1533-position model. The record is from RNAcentral.